This 490-nucleotide ribosomal RNA is filed under the name uncultured bacterium. RNAcentral describes it as "partial 16S ribosomal RNA". It matches the Rfam family "Bacterial small subunit ribosomal RNA", at positions 28 to 507 of the family's 1533-position model. The record is from RNAcentral.
GAUGAACGCUAGCUACAGGCUUAACACAUGCAAGUCGAGGGGCAGCAUGGUCUUAGCUUGCUAAGGCCGAUGGCGACCGGCGCACGGGUGAGUAACACGUAUCCAACCUGCCGUCUACUCUUGGACAGCCUUCUGAAAGGAAGAUUAAUACAAGAUGGCAUCAUGAGUCCGCAUGUUCACAUGAUUAAAGGUAUUCCGGUAGACGAUGGGGAUGCGUGCCAUUAGAUAGUAGGCGGGGUAACGGCCCACCUAGUCUUCGAUGGAUAGGGGUUCUGAGAGGAAGGUCCCCCACAAUGGAACUGAGACACGGUCCAAACUCCUACGGAAGGCAGAAGUGAGGAAUAUUGGUCAAUGGGCGCAGGCCGGAACCAGCCAAGUAAGGUGAAGGAUGACUGCCAUAUGGGUUGUAAACUUCUUUUAUAAAGGAAGAAAGUCGGGUAUGUAUACCCGGUUGCAUGUACUUUAUGAAUAAGGAUCGGCUAACUACGUG